Molecule: unclassified non-coding RNA, 307 nt
Filed under: Hevea brasiliensis (rubber tree)
Lineage: Eukaryota; Viridiplantae; Streptophyta; Magnoliopsida; Malpighiales; Euphorbiaceae
Source: RNAcentral
UUAUAUUCUCUUUGCAGGCGAAGCCAUUAACUUUCACUGCAGAGGAAAGAUCAGCAACACAGACAUCUUGAAGCAAGUCAGGGUCAGCCGUAACAGAGGCCAAGAAAAACCCGAAAGAGAAAACAAAUAGAGCCACCACAGCCUUCAUGAUUGCAGGGACCUUGUGUUUGUUUUGUCCUUCACUCCCUCUUUCUCUCUCUCUGUGUUUCGAGUUUACCGUUAGAGCAUAGAGAAAAGGGAAAGAAAGAGUGGGGCAAACUGAAAAUAAUGAAAGUGAAGAGAAGAGAAAAGAAAAGAAGGAUUCGUU